GAAAGAAACGCAGCUCUUGACUUCUUUUUUGUAAACAUUACUGUAAGAGUUGUGAUAACUUUUUAUUCUACUAUGUAUAUGUAUGGAAUAGUAUUAAUAAAUGAACUAGGGAAGGAUGUAAUAAAUUAGACAUCUCUUCAUUUUAGAGAGAAGAUGGAAACAACAUUGCUUUUCUUUUCUCAAAUAAAUAUGUGUGAAUCAAAAGAAAAAACUUUUUUCAAGUUAAUACAUGGUUCAGGAAAAGAAGAAACAAGCAAAGAAGCCAAAAUCAGAGCUAAGGAAAAAAGAAAUAGACUAAGUCUUCUUGUGCAGAAACCUGAGUUUCAUGAAGACACCCGCUCCAGUAGAUCUGGGCACUUGGCCAAAGAAACAAGAGUCUCCCCUGAAGAGGCAGUGAAAUGGGGUGAAUCAUUUGACAAACUGCUUUCCCAUAGAGAUAGAAAGACUCAACUGAGCAGGUGAUGCAGCUAGUCUAGUUACAACUGGAUGAUGAUCAAUUAGAGGGUGAAAAUUUCAAUUGACAAUAACAUAUAGACAGGAUUUCUUUCACUUAAUGAAUUAGUAUAUAAUAAUUUCAUCAUACUUUCAUUACUCAUUCAAAGCAUAGAAAGAUUUAGCAGGAUGAUUAGUCCUACAGAAAAUCCUCACCUAGCAUUCUGUAAUCUUUCUUCUUUAAAAGUGGUAAAAAGCAAAAGGACAAAAUCGAAUUUGCUACUCUCUCUUUUCUCUACUGGUAAUAUUGAAGAACAGUAAACUAUCUGCAAUUUAAAUCAAGAAGAGACACAUUUAAAGAAAUCAGCACUGACCCACUGGAUAUUAUCACUUGUCAUGAUUACAAUGCUAAAUAUAUUAUAUUGAAUUCACAGAAUUUAUAUUACCAGUAUUAUUUUACUCAAUCUCCCCUAAUCCAAUUAUUUUUAUUACAAUGCUUAUAAUAAUAUUAAAUUGUCAAACUUAAAAUAAUCACCUAAAACAAGCCUUUUGUUUGCAGUGGUUAAAUUCAGUUUAUUUCUAUUUAUUUGACUCUAGUAGAAAAGUGUGUGUGUGAAUAUAUAUAUAUAUUUUUUUUUUUUCUUUUUUUUAAAGAGAAAGAUCCUACACACACACACACUUCAAGAAAGACAUUGCUCUAUCAAAUUUUAUCAAAUUUCCUUUUAUAAAAUUUUAUAAAAUGCAUACUUUUCUCAAAUUCUGUAUGUUAUGUCAUUAAAAGGAAACAAAAUUUACUCAGUUUAUUCAAAUGAGAAAUUAAGUGAUAAAUCAAACCAGAUACAAUGGAAAUUUGGGUAUUCAAUUUGACAAAAACAGUUAAUAUUAGAACCAUCAUAAACUGAUUAUUAGCAGUUUUAGGAAUGAAACCACAGGAUGGAUGGUUUUUACCCUAGAUUUUAGGGGAUUAAUCAAAAUUCACUAGCCGAACAAGGACAGAAGGAGACCAUCCAAGCAAAGAAUCAGUAUAGGAAUGGGGCGUUAAACAAUAUAAUUUAGUUAGGGAAUUAAAACCAAAACAAUUCUUUAUUGAAAAAUACAAUUUGAAAAGGGAUGGUGGCUUAGGGUGACAGACAAUAUAUCCAUGAGACCAAAACAGAAAGGUCACUGAUUUUUGCUCUAUUCCACAGAAAUCAAAUGAUUCAGGGAGGUGUUCUGAUAAUUCUAUUUUAUUCUAAUUUUAGUCACACAGUUUAACUUUUUUAAAAUUAAAAAAAAAAUGAGUAAAUAUAAACUUCAGUUCAAAAUUAUGCAUCAGUGUUGUUUCAGUAAUUGCAACAAAUGUCCCAUACCAACAUAAGAUAUUAAUAACAGGGAAAUUGAAUCGGGGGCAUAUUACCUUCUUCUAAAUCUGUACUACCUUCUGUACUACCUUCUUGUUGUGGGAAGUCAGGGACCCCGAAAGAAGGGACCAGCUGAAGCUAUGGCAGAAGAAUAUAAAUUGUGAAGAUUUCAUGGACAUUUAUCACUUCCCCAAUCAAUACUCUUAUAAUUUCCUAUGCUUGACUUUACUUUAAUCUCUUAACCCAAUUGUCUUCAUAAACUGAGGAUGUAUGUUGCCUCAGGACCCUGUGAUGAUUGCGUUAACUGUGUAAAUUGUUCGUAAAGCAUGUGUGUUUGAACGAUAUGAAAUCUGGGCACCCUGAAAAAGAACAGGAUAACAGCAAUGUUCAGGGAACAAGGGAGAUAACCAUUAGGUCUGACUGCCUGGGACCCGGGCAGGACAGUCAUAUUUCUCUUAUUGCCGAAAAUGGGUAAGAGAAAUAUCACUGAAUUAUUUCCCCAGUAAGGAAUAUUAAUAAUUAACAGCCCUGGGGAAAGAAUGGAUUCCCCGGGGAGGCCUCUAAAAUGGCCGCUCUGGGAGUGUCUGCUUUAUGCCGUUGUAGGUAGGGAUGAAACAUGCCCUGGUCUCCUGCAGCACCCCCAGGCUUGCUAGGAUUAGGAAAUUCCAGCCUGGUGAAUUCUAGACAGACUGGUACUCUGCUCUUGAACCCUGUUUCCUGUUAAGAUGUUUAUCGACGACAAUGCUUGCACAGUGGGACUUGAAACUUCAUCAGAAAUUGUAGUUUUGCCCUGGCCUUGUGACCUUGUCCUGCCCAUUUGCCUUGUGAUAUUUUAUUGCCUUUGAAGCAUGUGAUCUCUGUGACCCACACUGUGUUCGUACACUCCCUCCCCUUUGAAAAUUGCUAAUAAAAACUUGCUGGUUUUGUGGCUCAGGGGGCAUCACGGAACCUGCCGAUGUGAUGUCUCCCCUGGACACCCAGCUUUAAAAUUUCUCUCUUUUGUGCUCUUUCCCUUUAUUUCUCAGACUGGCCGACACUUAGG
This 2814-nucleotide long non-coding RNA is filed under the name Homo sapiens (human). RNAcentral describes it as "HSALNT0019209". The record is from RNAcentral. Lineage: Eukaryota; Metazoa; Chordata; Mammalia; Primates; Hominidae.